GCAGUGGCUCAGUGGUAUAGAGUAUCUGCUUUGCAUGCAAAGGUUUCCAGGUUCAAUUCUUGGCAUCUCCA
Molecule: non-coding RNA, 71 nt
Organism: Podarcis lilfordi (Lilford's wall lizard)
Lineage: Eukaryota; Metazoa; Chordata; Lepidosauria; Squamata; Lacertidae
Source: the annotation of a GenBank genome assembly